UACGUAGGGGGCAAGCGUUGUCCGGAAUCAUUGGGCGUAAAGAGCGUGUAGGCGGCUCGAUAAGGCUGCUGUGAAAGUCCAGGGCUCAACCCUGGAAGGCCGGUGGAAACUGUCGGGCUAGAGUCCGGAAGAGGCGAGUGGAAUUCCCGGUGUAGCGGUGAAAUGCGUAGAUAUCUGGAGGAACACCGGUGGCGAAGGCGGCAUCCUGGACCGACACUGACGCUGAGGAGCGAAAGCCAGGGGAGCAAACGGG
This 253-nucleotide ribosomal RNA is filed under the name uncultured bacterium. RNAcentral's name for it is "partial 16S ribosomal RNA". It matches the Rfam family "Bacterial small subunit ribosomal RNA", at positions 524 to 776 of the family's 1533-position model. The record is from RNAcentral.